This 433-nucleotide ribosomal RNA is filed under the name uncultured bacterium. RNAcentral describes it as "partial 16S ribosomal RNA". It matches the Rfam family "Bacterial small subunit ribosomal RNA", at positions 29 to 507 of the family's 1533-position model. The record is from RNAcentral.
AGCGAACGCUGGCGGCAGGCCUAACACAUGCAAGUCGAACGAACUCUUCGGAGUUAGUGGCGGACGGGUGAGUAACACGUGGGAACGUGCCUUUAGGUUCGGAAUAACUCAGGGAAACUUGUGCUAAUACCGAAUGUGCCCUUCGGGGGAAAGAUUUAUCGCCUUUAGAACGGCCCGCGUCUGAUUAGCUAGUUGGUGAGGUAAAGGCUCACCAAGGCGACGAUCAGUAGCUGGUCUGAGAGGAUGAUCAGCCACAUUGGGACUGAGACACGGCCCAAACUCCUACGGGAGGCAGCAGUGGGGAAUCUUGCGCAAUGGGCGAAAGCCUGACGCAGCCAUGCCGCGUGAAUGAUGAAGGUCUUAGGAUUGUAAAAUUCUUUCGCCGGGGACGAUAAUGACGGUACCCGGAGAAGAAGCCCCGGCUAACUUCGUG